Small nuclear RNA from Frankliniella occidentalis (western flower thrips), 106 nucleotides. The record is from RefSeq and is a predicted model, not a curated record. Lineage: Eukaryota; Metazoa; Arthropoda; Insecta; Thysanoptera; Thripidae.
GUGUUGUAUGAAAGGAGAGACGGUUAGCACUCCCCUUGACAAGGAUGGAAUACACAUAUAUGGCUGAGGCACCCAGCUACUUGUAGCAACUCAACCACAUUUUUUC